This is a non-coding RNA of Capsicum annuum, 106 nucleotides long. The record is from Rfam. Lineage: Eukaryota; Viridiplantae; Streptophyta; Magnoliopsida; Solanales; Solanaceae.
ACCUCAUGAUUUUGGCAUUGCAUUAACUUAUUUUUGAAUCAUUGCCAAGCCUCAUAUAAUGGUUCACCACUAAGAUGGUGAAAGUUAGUGAUUUUAUCCCUUAGUU